CCUACGGGUGGCAGCAGUGGGGAGUAUUGCGCAAUGGGCGAAAGCCUGACGCAGCGACGCCGCGUGAGGGAUGAAGGUCUUCGGAUCGUAAACCUCUGUCAGCAGGGAAGAACGGUCACUGUGCUAAUCAGCAGUGAAUUGACGGUACCUGCAAAGGAAGCACCGGCUAACUCCGAGCCAGCAGCCGCGGGAAUACGGAGGGUGCGAGCGUUAAUCGGAAUGACUGGGCGUAAAGCGCUCGUAGGCGGUAUGUCAAGUCAAGGGUGAAAUCCCCGCGCUCAACGUGGGAACUGCCUUUGAAACUGGCAAACUGGAGUGUGUGAGAGGAUAGUGGAAUUCCAGGUGUAGGAGUGAAAUCCGUAGAUAUCUGGAGGAACAUCAGUGGCGAAGGCGACUAUCUGGAACAUAACUGACGCUGAGGAGCGAAAGCGUGGGUAGCAAACAGGAUUAGAUACCCUUGUAGUC
Molecule: ribosomal RNA, 465 nt
Filed under: uncultured bacterium
Lineage: Bacteria
Description: partial 16S ribosomal RNA
Rfam family: Bacterial small subunit ribosomal RNA
Source: RNAcentral